Molecule: ribosomal RNA, 301 nt
Filed under: uncultured bacterium
Lineage: Bacteria
Description: partial 16S ribosomal RNA
Rfam family: Bacterial small subunit ribosomal RNA
Source: RNAcentral
CAGCAGCCGCGGUAAAACGUAGGGUGCGAGCGUUAAUCGGAAUUACUGGGCGUAAAGCGUGCGCAGGCGGUUCGUUAAGACAGAUGUGAAAUCCCCGGGCUUAACCUGGGAACUGCAUUUGUGACUGGCGAGCUAGAGUAUGGCAGAGGGGGGUAGAAUUCCACGUGUAGCAGUGAAAUGCGUAGAGAUGUGGAGGAAUACCGAUGGCGAUGGCAGCCCCCUGGGCCAAUACUGACGCUCAUGCACGAAAGCGUGGGGAGCAAACAGGAUUAGAUACCCCCGUAGUCCCUGUCUCUUAUAC